RNAcentral lists this ribosomal RNA (617 nucleotides) under uncultured Actinomycetales bacterium. Its description in RNAcentral is "bacterial SSU rRNA". It matches the Rfam family "Bacterial small subunit ribosomal RNA", at positions 46 to 677 of the family's 1533-position model. Lineage: Bacteria; Bacillati; Actinomycetota; Actinomycetes; Actinomycetales. The record is from RNAcentral.
GCUUACACAUGCAAGUCGAACGAUGAAGCAGAGCUUGCUCUGUGGAUUAGUGGCGAACGGGUGAGUGACACGUGAGUAACCUGCCCUUGACUCUGGGAUAAGCACUGGAAACGGUGUCUAAUACCGGAUACGACCCUCGGAGGCAUCUUCAGGGGGUGGAAAGAAUUUCGGUCAAGGAUGGACUCGCGGCCUAUCAGCUAGUUGGUGAGGUAAUGGCCCACCAAGGCGACGACGGGUAGCCGGCCUGAGAGGGUGACCGGCCACACUGGGACUGAGACACGGCCCGGACUCCUACGGGAGGCAGCAGUGGGGAAUAUUGCACAAUGGGCGCAAGCCUGAUGCAGCAACGCCGCGUGAGGGACGAAGGCCUUCGGGUUGUAAACCUCUUUUAGUAGGGAAGAAGCGAAAGUGACGGUACCUGCAGAAAAAGCACCGGCUAACUACGUGCCAGCAGCCGCGGUAAUACGUAGGGUGCAAGCGUUAUCCGGAAUUAUUGGGCGUAAAGAGCUCGUAGGCGGUUUGUCGCGUCUGCUGUGAAAACUGGGGGCUCAACCCCCAGCCUGCAGUGGGUACGGGCAGACUAGAGUGCGGUAGGGGAGAUUGGAAUUCCUGGUGUA